RNAcentral lists this long non-coding RNA (190 nucleotides) under Mus spicilegus (steppe mouse). RNAcentral's name for it is "lncRNA (ENSMSIG00000029610.1)". Lineage: Eukaryota; Metazoa; Chordata; Mammalia; Rodentia; Muridae. The record is from RNAcentral.
GGACUCACCCGAUUAACCUGCUGCAGUUCUGACCCUGCCAAAGAGCUACUUGCUGGUUCAUCAAUGAAGCAACCCGAAGUGAUGAAGAUGUAAGGAACGCAUCCUACGCUAGCACUGUUGCAGUUGGAAAGGUAAGGUCCUCCCCAUGAGCCUGGCAGAUGUCCAUGUUCUCUUAAGAGCUGUGUGAUGC